Manis javanica (Malayan pangolin) is the source of this 6171-nucleotide non-coding RNA. The record is from RefSeq and is a predicted model, not a curated record. Lineage: Eukaryota; Metazoa; Chordata; Mammalia; Pholidota; Manidae.
AAACCGCUUUUUACCCACCCCCACCUACCUUAAAAUACAGCCAAUAUAGCCGAGGAAGAAACCCAGUGCUUUCACCUGGAAAUGGAGAUAUGCAUUUCAAGAGAUGAGAGGCAGGCAAAUGCCCAGGACUCAGAAGUGCCAUCCCACCCAUCAAGAAGAGCCCCCAAAUUAAGAAUCCCAGAGAUUCCAUACAAACAACCGCAUGGAAAAGAAGCCAGAGCUACAGAGGUGAUCUGGAUCCAGGAAGAAAUGGAAGAUGCCUGCAAUCAAAAAGAGAGAAAAGAGACAUCUCUUCUAGCUAACAUGAAAGACAGAGAAGCCACUUGGGAAACUUCAGCGGCCAUGCAGAGUCAAGUCCAUGAGGCGGAAGAUAAAGUGGAGAAUCAAGAACAGAAAGAAGACACAUGUGAUCAUCUCCCAAAGACACAGCGAUCUUUAGGACAUUUUUUUUCAAGUACAGCAGAUUCAGAUACAACACUGCCGUUGUCACAGUCAUUGUCCUAUGAAGGGCCCAUCAGUUACUCUCUGUCCAGCCCUCAGAUUAGUGGAGUGACUCUAUCAACAACUGGAUCAAAGACCCCUCAACCUAUUGUGAGCCAUUUCAGAUCAGAAAACAGCUUGGUUUCUUUGAAAGGCUCCGACAGCCUCACAACUCCAAAGAAACAGACGCGGUUUGUCCCUGCUGCUGAGACCGCCGUAACCGGGGACGGGGAGGAUUAUUUCCUGUCUUUGUUUGGUGAUUCGAAGAAACUUCUUGCACACUCAUUCCACUCCGAGAGGACUUGGAGGCACUUUUCUACGAUUCUUGAAGAAGUGGGCCAGUCUAGAUCCAGUGCUCUUGGAGACAUCAAAAUAGCUGAAGUAAAUGUUAAGGGUUUAUUUGUGAAGCUCAUUAACUCUUCCCUUGACAAAGAACUGGAAAUCGGAGGCCAUAUUCUCCAGCAAAAUGUGGAUGGACAAACAGUCUCUUUGUACCAAUUCCUUCCAGAUAUCAGAAUGCAGGCCAACUUCACAGUAACAGUGUGGGCGGCAGCUUCUGAGGCGAAGCAUCAGCCACCAUCAGACUUUCUUUGGAAGGAACAGGACAAGUUUAAGACAAGCCCGGACUGUACAACGAUCCUGUGCAAACCUAAUGGUGAAGCUAUUGCCUGGUAUACUCCUAUUCACUGGAAGCAAGCAUGGGAGAAACUGGACAUGGACAUUGAAUUUGACAGAUGCUCAGUAGUAAGCCCUGUGUCUCAAAGGCACAGGUUUCACUGGGUACCAGCUGUAACUCCAACUAAAGAGAAACAAGAUCAGUCUAAGGAAGACACCUCCAGAUAUCAGAUGGAACCAGGUGGAGUCUUUCUUCAGAGAGAAAAAGAUAUCCCAUCAACCCUCUUCCCUAAUCACAGCCCUUGGUGCCACAGUCCCAAUGUCCCUGCACAUCCCUACUGUCCUCUGAUUGGGCCUCACAAUCCCUGCGAGGCUGGAAGCAGCUUAGGUAGACAGCCCAGGCCUCGUUCACCUAGGCCUGACCCAGCCCAGGUACUGAAAAAAACAAGACAUCUGAAUUACAAAAGCAAUAGGCAAUCAACUCAGCCUUUAAAGCUGUUAGGUCUUCGACUUCUGCCAUUUCUGCAGAUACAUUUGCCAAAACCACAUGUUCCAGGAAUUCUGAAUUUCGUGGUCUGUCUGAUUCUCUACAUUUGGAAUCUGUCUCGUUAAAACAUGGAUGAAGCUGUCUUCCUAAUGACUGGAAGCAAUCGGUGAAGUUUCCAUGGAGGAACCUAUUCGGGAGAUUUUAAACCUGCCUCCGCUCACCUCAGAUUCAGCCAAAACCGUCUCCUCUUCCAGCUUGUGGUAACUAGGUACAAAAUCCCUUGGAUAGGAAAUGCCAAGAAUGUUUUAAUUAAAUAAUCUGAUGGAGCUACCAUUUUUUCAACCAUUCUCACUCUUUAUUCUUUAGCAAACUUAUUCUAUACCUAUCGAGUAUAGAAGCUGAAAAAAUAAUAAAGUAUACUCAUUUUUAAUGUUGAGCUUCCUUAUAGUCAGAAGAUAUGAUUGCUUCACUUUCUGAGAAUCUGUACGUGGUAGCUCUGUUUAAUUUAACUUAAUUUAAUUUAAUUUAUGUGUAUUUAUAUAGCAUAUACAGGACAAUGGAGGUAUAUAGAGUCUUGAAAUGUGAAAAAGAGUGAGGUGAGGAUUUCCCCCCAAUAUCUCUUUAAAAAAAUUAAGAAAAGUAAAAUAACCCUAAAAUCCACCAGUGAUGACCACUGAAUUUUAUUAUGUCCAAAAGGUAAGAAUAAUUUAUUUUUUACAAGUCAUCUGCCAAGGGACCCAAGUAGAUACUUAUUCACAAUAGCCGAAAAGUAGAAAUAAUACAAGUGUCCAUCAAAGGAUGAGUAGAUUUUUAAAAUGUGAUAUACACAUGUGGGCAAUAUUAUUCAUCUACUGAAAAAUGAAAUCCAAAUCUAUGCUACAACAUGGGAAAGCCUUGAGAACAUUAUGCUAAUUGAAAUAAGCCAGGCAUAAAAGAACAACAACCCUACAAUUUCAUUUAGGUACUAGAAAAAGGCAAAUUCAUGGAAAUGGAAAGUGUAGUGGAGUUGACUGGGGGCUCAAGGAAGGUGGUAACAGGGAGUUCCUGUUCAGUAGGUACAGAAUCUCUGUUCGGGCUGAUGAAAAAUUCCUGAAAAUAGAUAGUCACGAUGUUUGAGAACACUGUGAACAUACUUAAGGCCACUGAUGGUACACCUGAAAAUAGUUAAGAAGGUACAAAGAAAACCUCUUAAUAAAAUCUUAUUAAGCCAUAUGACAGCAUAAAGCAUCUGAAAAGACACACAUUGCUUCACAAAAUAAUUUUUCAUAUACUUUUUGGUUUGAUAUAAAAAAGAUUCACAUUAAUCUCUGCAUAAUGAUGCAGCAUAAACAGUUUCUAGUCACUAGGCUGCUCUGAUCACAUCAUUUCCUUUUUUUUUUUUUGAACUUAGGAGGACACUUGUACAUCUUCAGAAAACUGUCAGUGACACCUUAGGCCACUUUGAACCACUGUCUCCGUUUGUGAUCCCCAUGUUCACAUGGGAGUAUAUACACCUACUACCAAGAGGACCUGGUAACUGUAGCCAGUAAGCGAUCUCACCCGCGACGGAAUUGCAGCCUCUUUCCCUCAAAGAUUUGUAAUAGAAACACAUGAAAGAAAUGGCAUGUAAGGUUCAGGUGUUUGCAAUUAUUUCCCUCAUAGGAGCAGAGGUUUCCUAAUCCAAAAAUAUGUUUCAGCUUCACUGGUUUUCCUUAUGUAUGGAUAUUGUGCAGUUUCAGGAGAAUUUCAUCUAUAUAUCUCUUAAUUCAUUGACACUUCAUCCAUAACAUAGUAUCUCCUCUGAGCUCUUCUACAAGAUCAUUUCCUGUCUGGGUGGUCAAAAAUAGGGUGUAUUUAAAUAGUGCUUGCUUUUGUGAAGCACACUCUUAGGAACUAUAUAACCUUUUGCCCUCCCAAGAAAUGGAGAAAUAAAUGCUCAGGCCUGGGACUUGUAGGAGAUGCCUUGUCAGUCGCAUCACCACGGAGCGUUCUAGCACAAUGCCUUAGCUCUCUUCGCGCUCAGGGACUGUUAGUCCCCCUUUAGACUGGUACCGAUAGGGGAAGAUGGAUCCAUCUGAUGGUGUAAAUCACUAACUGCCUAAAUGUUCGUACUUAGGCAAGACUGUUUGGGGAUUGCAAAGAAAGAAAGUGGGCUUGGAGCAUUUUGUUUUCCUUGAUUUCCAUGAAUGCAGGUUAUAAGACUGAUCCUUUAGGCUUCAGCAGCCUUAGACAACAGCAAGCUUUAUCUUAUGGUCCCAUAAAUUUGCCCCUUGAUAAUGGCCCUCUGCACAUUAUCAAAGCACUCUGUUUAUAAUUACCUGACCGGAACUGAGCGUUAUUUCAUAAAGCAUUUGAAUAAUGAGCCUUGUUAAAUAACAUUCACUGUUUUGGGCAACAAAUUCACCUACAGUGGAUGAACUGGAUGAAUGGAACGAAAAGGAAAUCACACACACACACACACACACACACACACACACACUGUAUGAUUCUGGCAGGAAAUAGUGAAAGAAAUAGUGAAAGGGUUGACACUGUUCUGAUGUCUUUUUGGUUACUUGCCAAGCAGCUUUGAAGAGGCAUCCAAAUUCUCAGAUCAGUUUCAAGUUUAGGGUUCUUUCAGGGGAGGGCCUCCUACCGAGCUUGACACAUUACCCAAGUCCAAGGAGAGGGGGCAUUAUAAUCUAGCAACCUGAGUAAGGUUUAAAUGCGUGGGGACAAUACAACUUCGAGCUUAAAUAACAAAAAUGGUCACCACUCAAUUGUGUUUACAAAACACUAACUUGAAAUGUAUCUAUAUAGAUAUUCAUAAUCUAUUCCUAUUUAUAAUACCUUGAUAUUCUUUGGAAUACAUUACAAGACAACCCAGAUACAAGCAGAAACUUUGUUCUUUUUUUAGAGAAGUUUAAGUUUCCUAAUGUUUUACUUUUUGAAGGCUAAAGACAGUUUCAGUAUUUUGAAAGCCAUGAAAUGACCAGCCUGUUGUUUACAUUUGACCAUGGUGUGAGAAAAUAUAAAACUUUCGGAAUUGUUUGAAAACAGUACUUUCUGUUGUAAAUAGAUUGUAUAUGUGUCUGUAUUGUGACCCUGAGAAGAAGGGGAAAAGGCUUCUCUAAAUAAGAGAUUUUGCCCUAAUGUCAACAGAUUACAAAAGGUGAGUAGUAAUACCCUUCCCUACCUGCCACCUGCGUCACAUUAUAUUUUACAGUAGUCAACUAGCAGUUACUUUGAGUCAGGUCUAGAAGGAGGAGUGUAGUAACCAUGAGCUAUUUUUCAAGUUCAUAUCUCAUACUUCCUGUUCUGCUGAAAAUGGGAACCUCAGGGGGCUUGGGGAUGGAAUGUGGGAUGGGGGCAGCGUCCACUGCCAAGGUAGCUCAUUCAUAUGAGGCAAAUUUGUGCCCAGUGCAAGUUCGUGCCCAUGUUGGGCUCCGCAUAAGGUAGCUUGGGCUCCCGCACGCUGGGUGUCUGGUUUCCAAUAGUGAAUGUCCUGAGAAGAAGUGGAAGGUACCAAUUUCUUCAGAUACAGACACAGAAGAUGACACAGCAUCACUCUGCCAUGUUCUAUUAUUCAUCAGUUAGAGAGCCUAUAUUCAAGGUGAGGGGACAGAGGAACCACUUCUGUGCAGGAGGCCUGUCAGAGAAUUUGGGGGCCUUGUAAAACCACCACUAUGUGUACAUCACCAAGAAAAUAGACACUUCCUUCAAUCUGAUCUUGCCUUUAUAAUCUCACCUGGGAAUGUCCACCCCAAUCUUGUAAAAUAAAGUAGUAUAUCCCCAAGUUCAGUUGGUGGACCUGUUGAAACCUGAAUUUUCAAAGAGUCACAACAAAAUAGGCAAGAAACUGUGUGACCUCCUUUUCUUUAUUCGGGGUAAACUGUGAGUUUACUUAAAGCAAGGGAAAUAUCUCUUUGAGGUAUUGCCUUGAAGCAAUAAUUGGCUCCAGAGAUUAUAAAUUACCUCUUAAUUUCUUAUACCAUCUUUCAAAGGCCCCUCAAUAUCUCUCCCCUCUUCCUUAAAUCACUAAAAUCCAUGUGGAUUAGCUGGAGACAAAUCUUGAAGGGCAUGUAGUUGUUUAGUUUAUAUUUUGCAGGCUUAUUUUUCCAUCAUGCAUUCUUAAUCACCAAAAUUUCUUUGAGUAUGUGUUACAUGCUAAGAAUUUUAAAAAUAUGUGCUAUUUGCCUUUAUGGGAGUCACAGACCAGCGGGAAAUAUACUUGUAAUAAAACAGUAAAAGAACUACUACAAUAAAGCUAAAACACAAAAUCCUGUGGUUUCUUCUGAGAUUGAAGAAUUCCAGAUAGGUGCCAUGAAGCUGAUUUUAAGGGAAAUGAAAUGCUUCAGGCAAAUGAGGGGAAGGAAAUUUGAUCAGCACGCAGCACGUAAAUGGAAGGCACUGGUGGUUUUGAGAACCAGUCACUUACGUGUGUGUUUUUAGAACAUGGAGAGGAGGUUGGUUGGGCUGAACCAUGAGCUUUGUGUGCUGGGGCUCCAUGUUUGGACUUGCCCUGAUACGUUACAGAACGGAAAUACUAACAAAGUCAGCACAUUGGAGAGUGAGAGAUGGCAAUAGAGUUUGUUCUCUAUGGGUGGUUAUUUUUCUGAAAAACCUCAGCUUUU